This 468-nucleotide ribosomal RNA is filed under the name uncultured bacterium. RNAcentral describes it as "partial 16S ribosomal RNA". It matches the Rfam family "Bacterial small subunit ribosomal RNA", at positions 28 to 507 of the family's 1533-position model. The record is from RNAcentral.
GACGAACGCUGGCGGCGUGCUUAACACAUGCAAGUCGAACGGAAAGGCCCUGCUUUUGUGGGGUGCUCGAGUGGCGAACGGGUGAGUAACACGUGAGUAACCUGCCCUUGACUUUGGGAUAACUUCAGGAAACUGGGGCUAAUACCGGAUAGGAGCUCCUGCUGCAUGGUGGGGGUUGGAAAGUUUCGGCGGUUGGGGAUGGACGCGCGGCUUAUCAGCUUGUUGGUGGGGUAGUGGUUUACCAAGGCUUUGACGGGUAGCCGGCCUGAGAGGGUGACCGGCCACAUUGGGACUGAGAUAGGGCCCAGACGCCUACGGGAGGCAACAGUGGGGAAUAUUGCACAGUGGGCGGAAGCCUGAUGCAGCAACCCCGCGGGCGGGAUGACGGCCUGCGGGUUGAAAACCGCUGUCGCCUGUGACGAAGCUGGAGUGACGGCAAUGGGUAAAGAAGCACCGGCUAACUACGUG